This 877-nucleotide ribosomal RNA is filed under the name Daldinia childiae. Its description in RNAcentral is "partial large subunit ribosomal RNA". It matches the Rfam family "Eukaryotic large subunit ribosomal RNA", at positions 55 to 958 of the family's 3401-position model. Lineage: Eukaryota; Fungi; Ascomycota; Sordariomycetes; Xylariales; Hypoxylaceae. The record is from RNAcentral.
GGAAAAGAAACCAACAGGGAUUGCCCUAGUAACGGCGAGUGAAGCGGCAACAGCUCAAAUUUGAAAUCUGGCCCUAGCGGUCCGAGUUGUAAUUUGUAGAGGAUGCUUUUGGUUAGGUGCCUUCUGAGUUCCCUGGAACGGGACGCCAGAGAGGGUGAGAGCCCCGUACGGUUGGACACCGAGCCUCUAUAUAGCUCCUUCGACGAGUCGAGUAGUUUGGGAAUGCUGCUCUAAAUGGGAGGUAAAUUUCUUCUAAAGCUAAAUACCGGCCAGAGACCGAUAGCGCACAAGUAGAGUGAUCGAAAGAUGAAAAGUACUUUGAAAAGAGGGUUAAAUAGCACGUGAAAUUGUUGAAAGGGAAGCGUUUGCGACCAGACUUUUUCCAGGCGGAUCAUCCGGUGUUCUCACCGGUGCACUUCGCCUGGUUUAGGCCAGCAUCGGUUCCCUUAGGGGGAUAAAGGCCUGGGGAACGUAGCUCCUUCGGGAGUGUUAUAGCCCCUAGCGUAAUACCCUUCGGGGGACCGAGGAACGCGCAUCUGCAAGGAUGCUGGCGUAAUGGUCGUCAACGACCCGUCUUGAAACACGGACCAAGGAGUCGAACAUUUGUGCGAGUGUUUGGGUGUUAAACCCUCACGCGUAAUGAAAGUGAACGGAGGUGAGAGCCCUUCGGGGUGCAUCAUCGACCGAUCCUGAUGUCUUCGGAUGGAUUUGAGUAAGAGCAUAACUGUUCGGACCCGAAAGAUGGUGAACUAUGCGUGGAUAGGGUGAAGCCAGAGGAAACUCUGGUGGAGGCUCGCAGCGGUUCUGACGUGCAAAUCGAUCGUCAAAUCUGCGCAUGGGGGCGAAAGACUUAUCGAACCAUCUAGUAGCUGGUUAC